GCAUGGUUUGAGAGGUUGGUGAACUCUCUUGAGCUCAGAGAGAUAUACUUGAGCGGGCGUAGAUAUACGUGGACAAAUGAUCGACAACAUGCCACCUUGGUCAAGCUAGAUCGUGUCUUUGCCUCCAUCUCAUGAGAGGACUUGUUCCCCUCAUGCUUCCCGUCAGCAGCAAGCACGAUGACUUUCGAUCACUGUCCACUUGGAUGUCAAUAUACAAUUUGGGAGGCGGUUCAGGUUCGAUCACUUUUGGACCAAAGAUGA
RNAcentral lists this ribosomal RNA (261 nucleotides) under Triticum aestivum (bread wheat). RNAcentral describes it as "partial small subunit ribosomal RNA". Lineage: Eukaryota; Viridiplantae; Streptophyta; Magnoliopsida; Poales; Poaceae. The record is from RNAcentral.